Molecule: non-coding RNA, 118 nt
Organism: Zea mays
Lineage: Eukaryota; Viridiplantae; Streptophyta; Magnoliopsida; Poales; Poaceae
Source: Rfam
AGCUGUGCAUUAAGCACAAAGCGAACUAUUCCUUCGCCUUUUACUAAAGAAUAUCGUGUGCCCGCUGUAAUAAACAACAUAUACCUAUUUUUGGAGGGAUAUCUCUUUUGUGAGGAGG